Long non-coding RNA from Ooceraea biroi (clonal raider ant), 1105 nucleotides. RefSeq lists it as uncharacterized. Lineage: Eukaryota; Metazoa; Arthropoda; Insecta; Hymenoptera; Formicidae. The record is from RefSeq and is a predicted model, not a curated record.
GGCCAAAGUAACUUGUUCAGUCUCACUUCCCCUUACUGGCCAUGCAGGAGUACACAUAUGACUAUUAGGACUGGUGGAGCGAUAUUAUUCAUCUUAAACAGUAUUGGAAGCAAAAAAUACCAGAUUACACACAUGUGAAGAACGUGAAGAAAGUGCAAGAAAUCUGUCGACGCAUCUAUUUCUAUCCUAUCCUAUGAAAAAGUUUUGGAUCUCACCAUAUCAAGUUCGGAUACUGGGCCCAUACUCCUAAUCAGGAUAUUAGUUUUCACCACUGUGGGCACGCCUAAGAAAAAAGGGAAAAGAAUGAAUGAGAGAUGAGCCAUAUCAAAACUGGAACACACAGAAUAUUCGUUUUGUGAAAGGAAGAAGAAAACGAGUAUCUAGAUAUGCUGGUGAAAAUGUGAUGUGAUAUAAAAGCGCAGCUUGAAGCGAAAUCGAAUCCAGACACUCGUUUUACCGUCUUCAAUUAUCGACUUUGUCGUUGUGAUUUGUGAGAGGUACAAAGUUCUAUUCUCUAUUAUUUAUUCCGGAAUUAUAACUGUUGUAAUAUUAUUAUUUUUGGUCAAGGCACGCAACAGCUUUACAAUGAAAUAUUUAAACGAAACAAUGAAUAUUUCUCAGAUGUUUGAUAUAUUGUAUUCACAUAAAUAUUGAUGACUCGUUAGAUACACUCGAUUUAAUUCAAAGGAUAAUUGCAUCUCUUGUUGAAACUGCCUCGAAAUCUGUUCUUAAAACAUUCAGAGGCUUUUACAAGUUGCACGAUCUACGUACAUGUCUAUAAUUGCUUAAGAUGCACCUUUGAGUUUCAUGCGUCAGAAGCGCGGUGGCUUUGAUACGGUGGCGAUUGAAAUUUUCAUUAUUUCAAGAUGCAUGCAAAGCGUUUGCACAUGGCGUAUAAAACAAGGGCAAUUGCAUUAAAUAAGCGACCUGAAUAACAAUCAACGAUAUUAUAAUUCUACUGGAUGGAAUACCAAGAAGCGUACGAUGUUUUUCAAUCGAUAUGCAAUCGAUAUAUUCGAUAUAUCUAAAAUCUAAAAUCUUCGUAUCGUAAUUUGUAACAGUGUAAAUUGAUAUUUCAAAAUACAUACGUAAAUAUGUCAUAAAA